GUCUUCCCUGACAUGGUAGGCUCAUUCCUGUUAGAAAUGGAAGUUGGAGUAUGAAACCAGGAGCACUAGAGGAAGGAAAGCAGGAAUUCAAGGCUACCCUGGGUUACUUAAUAAUACCUUGUCCCUGUCAUUAAAAAAAAGUCAAGU
Mastomys coucha (southern multimammate mouse) is the source of this 147-nucleotide long non-coding RNA. RefSeq lists it as uncharacterized. The record is from RefSeq and is a predicted model, not a curated record. The transcript is spliced from 2 exons. Lineage: Eukaryota; Metazoa; Chordata; Mammalia; Rodentia; Muridae.